Molecule: transfer RNA, 71 nt
Filed under: Capra hircus (goat)
Lineage: Eukaryota; Metazoa; Chordata; Mammalia; Artiodactyla; Bovidae
Also listed under: 1 other name
Rfam family: tRNA
About the family: Transfer RNA (tRNA) molecules are approximately 80 nucleotides in length. Their secondary structure includes four short double-helical elements and three loops (D, anti-codon, and T loops).
Source: Rfam by way of RNAcentral
UCCCUGGUGGCUCAGUGAUAAAGAAUCUGCCUGCAAUGCAGGAGACCCGGGUUCAGUUCCUGGGUUGGGAA